Molecule: unclassified non-coding RNA, 567 nt
Filed under: Hevea brasiliensis (rubber tree)
Lineage: Eukaryota; Viridiplantae; Streptophyta; Magnoliopsida; Malpighiales; Euphorbiaceae
Source: RNAcentral
AUGGACUUCAAUCAUAUCUUCAUUCGGGUUCAUGUGUUUCCAUGCAUUGUUGACUCAAGUUGAUGUCAUUGAAGAUGGAACUGCUUUUUGGAGCUUUAUUACUGGCACUCUUACAUUCUUUUGUGUUGUCUGAUUUGCAAGGGGAUGCACUAUAUCAAAUGAAGCUUUCGAUGGGUGCUCCAGCCAAUCAGUUAUCAGAUUGGAAUCCAAAUCAAGUCAACCCAUGCACUUGGUCAAAUGUUAUCUGUGACCCUAGUAAUCAAGUCACUUCUGUAACAUUAUCUGGCAUGAACUGUUCUGGAACCUUAUCUCCUAAAAUAGGAAUUCUGAAGGCUCUUACUACACUAACAUUGAAAGGAAAUGGCUUAACUGGUGAGAUACCCAAAGAGUUUGGAAAUUUGUCGAGUUUAUCCAGCUUAGAUUUGGGAAAUAAUCGUUUAAGUGGCGAGAUACCGUCUUCCCUUGGCAAUCUUAAAAGUCUUCAAUUUUUGACUUUGAGUCAAAACAACCUCACUGGAGCUAUCCCUGAAUCACUUUCUCGUCUCCAAAAUUUGAUUAAUAUUCUAC